This 1491-nucleotide ribosomal RNA is filed under the name uncultured Bordetella sp. Its description in RNAcentral is "partial 16S-23S ribosomal RNA intergenic spacer". It matches the Rfam family "Bacterial small subunit ribosomal RNA". The record is from RNAcentral. Lineage: Bacteria; Pseudomonadati; Pseudomonadota; Betaproteobacteria; Burkholderiales; Alcaligenaceae.
ACCGGCACUCAGAUUGAACGCUGGCAGGAUACUUACGCCUUCAAGUCGAACGGCAACGGACUUCGGUCUGGUGGCGAGUGGCGAACGGUGGGUAAUGUAUCGGAACGUGCCUAAGUAGCAGGAUAACCGCGAAAGCGUAGCUAAUACCGCAUACGCCCUUCGGGGAAAGCAGGGGACCUUCGGGCCUCGCACUAUUGAAACGGCCGAUAUCGGAUUAGCUAGUUGGUGGGAGUAACGGCUCACCGGAAAGCGGCAAUCGAUCCACGCUCUCUGCGCUGGUUGAGAGGACGACCAUGCCCCUGAGGUUCAGAGACAGCCCCAGACUCUGGAAACAGCAGUAGAAUUUUGGACAAUAGAAACCUGAUCCAGCCGCAUCCCACGCAUUAUUGCGAUGAAGGCCUUCAGUUAUAAAAACGCCACUUUUUGGCAGGAAAGAAACGGCACGGGAUAUGCCCGAUACAGCUGACUAACGGUAUGCAGAAUAAAGCACAAGCAAGCUUUUCACGGUACCCAUAGCGCCGCCAGCCACUUUGAUAUACGUGAGGUCUGGCGUUAAUCAAAUUGCUGGGCGUAUUAAAGCGUGCGCAGGCGGUUCGGAAGAAGAAGGUAAGCGAAAUCCCAAACCUUUGGAACUGCAUUUUUAACUACCGAGCUAAGAGGAUGUAUCAGAGAGGUGGAAUUCACGUGUAGCAGUGAAAUGCGUAGAUAUGCGGAGGAACACCGAUGGCGAAGGCAGCCUCCUGGGAUAACUGACGCUCAUGCACGAAAGCGUGGGGGCAAACGGGAUAGAUACCUGGUAGUCCGCCUAAACAAUCAACUAGCUGUUGGGGCCUUUGGGCCUUGGUAUUUGCGGCUUCAACGUGAAGUUGACCGCCUGGGAAAUACGGUCGCAAGAUUAAACUCAAAGGAAUUGACGGGGACCCGCACAAGCGGUGGAUGAUGUGGAUUAAUUCGAUGCAACGCGAAAAACCUUACCUACCCUUGACAUGUCUGGAAUCCCGAAGAGAUUUGGGAGUGCUCGCAAAGAGAACCCGGAACACAGGUGCUGCAUGGCUGUCGUCAGCUCGUGUCGUGAGAUGUUGGGUUAAGUCCCGCAACGAGCGCAGCCCUUGUCAUUAGUUGCUACGAAGGGCACUCUAAUGAGACUGCCGGUGACAAACCGGAGGAAGGUGGGGAUGACGUCAAGUCCUCAUGGCCCAUAUGGGUAGGGCUUCACACGUCAUACAAUGGUCAGGACAGAGGGUCGCCAACCCGCGAGGGGCCAAUCCAGAAACCCGAUCGUAGUCCGGAUCGCAGUCUGCAACUCGACCGUGAAGUCCGGAAUCGCUGGUAAUCGCCGGAUCGGCAGCAUGUCGCGGUGAAUACGUUCCCGGGUCUUGUACACACCGCCCGUCACACCAUGGGAACAGGUUUUGCAAGUAGUUAGCUAACCGUAAGGAGGGCGAUUACCACGGUAGGAUUCAUGAUUGGGGUGAAGUCGUAACAAGGUAA